GGGGGGGGGGGGGGCGGCAGGAGAAAGGGGUAAGAAAGAGAAAGAGUGUGUGAGAGAGAGAGAGAGAGAGAGAGAGAGAGAGAGAGAGAGAAAGAGGGAGGGAGGGUGGAGUUUGGAGUUUAGGGUUAGGGUGUGGGGAAAGACUAGGCCCGGCUAUGCCGGAACCUAAGUGCACGGUCCAUCCAUGGGACUGGUAUUGGUGCCCCCUGAUCAAAAAAUUACCCUAAGCGGGUGUAGUGCACUGUGGUGGGCCUUCGCGACGUUUCGGCUUCUCUGAGCCUUCUUCAGGCUGGCCCACCCGCUUUUGUGUUCUGUUUCGCCACUCUGGGCCUUUUAUACUUUUCUUUUUCCUUUUCGUUUUUCUUAACUUUUUCUGUUUCUUAGUUUUUUCUUGUUCUCAGCUUUGGCUGCUUACUCUCCCUUUUUCUAUCUUUUUCUGUUGUUCUUUAUCUUUCUGUUUUUCUUUAUCCUUCCCUUUGUAUUUCUGUUAUUCUUUAUUCUUGUUCUUUAUUCUUUCUGUUUUUCUUUAUCUUUCCCUUUGUAUUCUGUUGUUCUUUAUUCUUUCUGUUCUUUAUUAUUCCUCUUAAUUUCUCUUGUGUUCUUUCUUUUAUUCUUUCUCAUAUUUCUUUAAAUGGCACCCCCUUCUCUUUAGACAUCCCGUCCGUGGUCUAUAUUUUUCUUUUAUGGCACCCCCUUCCUGUAAAUCCUUUCCUUUUGUACUUUGUCUUUUUUCUGACCUUUCUUGUCUUUUUUUCUCUUAGCUUAGGCUUUUAAAGUUCCCUUAGAGUUAGGGCUAGAGGGGGAGGGGGGAGGGGGGCAAAGGGGUUAGGGUUAGGAUAAGGUAGUGGGUGGGGGGCUCCCCACAAUGAGGGAGAGAGGAAAUGGGCAGGGGCACCACCAAUCCCAGGAGGCACAGGCUGGUUAGGGUGUGGGGAAAGACUAGGCCCGGGUUAGGGUUAGGGGGGUUAGGGUUAGGGUGUGGGGAAAGACUAGGCCCGGCUAUGCCGGAACCUAAGUGCACGGUCCAUCCAUGGGACUGGUAUUGGUGCCCCCUGAUCAAAAAAUUACCCUAAGCGGGUGUAGUGCACUGUGGUGGGCCUUCGCGACGUUUCGGCUUCUCUGAGCCUUCUUCAGGCUGGCCCACCCGCUUUUGUGUUCAGAUGUGCCACUCUGGGCCUUUUAUACUCUUCCUUUUUCAUUUCUGUUUUUCUUAACUUUUUCUGUUUCUUAGUUUUGUCUUUUUCUCAGCUUUGGCUGCUUUAGCUCUCCCUUGUUCUAUCUUUUUCUGUUGUUCUUUAUCUUUCUGUUUUUCUUUAUCCUUCCCUUUGUAUUUCUGUUAUUCUUUAUUCUUGUUCUUUAUUCUUUCCUUUUUUCUUUAUCUUUCUCUUUAUAUUACUGUUGUUCUUCAUUCUUUCUGUUGUUCUUUAUUCUUUCUGUUUUUCUUUAUUAUUUCUCUUUAUUUCUCUUGUGUUCUUUUCUUUAUUCUUUCUCAUAUUUCUUGAAAUGGCACCCCCUUCUCUUUAGACAUCCCGUCCUGUGGUCUGUAUUUUUCUUUUAUGGCACCCCCUUCCUGUAAAUCCUUCCUUAUGUAUUCUGUUCUUUCUUUCUGAACUUUCUUGUCUUUUUCUCCUUUUAUUUAGGCUUUCUUAGAGUUCCCUUAGAGUUAGGGCUAGAGGGGGAGGGGGGAGGGGGGCAAAGGGGUUAGGGUAAGGAUAAGGAUAAGGUAGUGGGUGGGGGGCUCCCCACAAUGAGGGAGAGAGGAAAUGGGCAGGGGCACCACCAAUCCCAGGAGGCACAGGCUGGUUAGGGUGUGGGGAAAGACUAGGCCCGGCUAUGCCGGAACCUAAGUGCACGGUCCAUCCAUGGGACUGGUAUUGGUGGGUUAGGGUUAGGGUUAGGGUUAGGGGUUAGGGUUAGGUUAGGGGCCUAUUGAUCUUGUACAGUCACUAUUGUGAGUCCGGUGCACUGGCAACAGCUGCCUGGUCACUGUCACUCAUGUCUCACCCCUUGUGGCAAACCAGUCUAUUAUCACUCUCAUUAGAAGAAAAAAAAUUCAAUUGAAGACACAAUAUUCUUUUUUUUUUUUUUUUUUUUUUUUUUUUUUUUUUUUUUUUUUUUUUGCCCCAGCAUGUACCUCUCCAACUUUUAUUGUCAUGUCAAGAGUCUCACAAAGCAGCAAUAAUUGUCAAUACAAUUGAAAGGGAGCAAUUCAGACUGCGUUCAGGCCCCGUGGAUGUUGAGUUCGCAGUCUGGAAAUCCACAAUCUCUCAUAUCUCCUCCUCUGGCCCUCCGUCCAUGUCGCACAGGUUUGAAGUCCCGUUAUACUGAGAUGUUGUAAUGUGUGAAUUUGGAAGUGCAAUACUAGUGGAGUGUCCAGUCCAUUCCUCUCAAUAUUGUAAAUAUGUUGUUUUAACCUCUCCAACAGAGUUUGACCUGUUUCACCCACAUAGAGUAGACCACAUUCUUCGCAACAGAUGCAAUAAACGAUGUUGCUCGUGUUUAGGGACAUUCUCUGUAAGAUGGGUGCCCCUAUUUUCCCAUAAGGAUUAUACAAGAACCGUUUCGGUUGAAAGGCCCAAUGAUUGGGUUUCCCCGAUCUUAUACGUCUCAUCUGUUCUGGCAACUUGGCCCUGACGAGCAUAUCUCUCAGAUUCUUGUUCCUCCUGUGGGCUGAAAUCACUCUGCAGUCUUGGAGUCGUAUCAAACCAGAGGUGUAUUUCUUAAAGUUUGUUUUGAGUUGAUGAUGCAAUGGUAGGUGAGAACGCGAGUAAGUGGUAACUAAUGGCAUAAGUCUAUUCUGUUCUCCCUGUUGUAUCUGAUUUUGAGUCUGAUUUCCCCUCAUUGCAUUAGAGUUUAGUCCAGCAAGGGUGCUGCUCUUAAUUGUUCUAAGGAACCUACUAGAAUAUCCCCUCUUCCUGAGGCUCCGGAAUAAUAUGCCAAUUGCAUCCUGAAGAUCUGAUUCCUUUGAAGAAAUUCUAUAGAACCUGAUGAUUUGGGACUUUAUGAUAC
Molecule: long non-coding RNA, 3009 nt
Organism: Astatotilapia calliptera (eastern happy)
Lineage: Eukaryota; Metazoa; Chordata; Actinopteri; Cichliformes; Cichlidae
Source: Ensembl